This is a non-coding RNA of Heterocephalus glaber (naked mole-rat), 6519 nucleotides long. NCBI's taxonomy places the organism in Eukaryota, Metazoa, Chordata, Mammalia, Rodentia, Bathyergidae. The record is from RefSeq and is a predicted model, not a curated record.
AGGAAGUGUCCGGCCUUACAGCCCUGCACUGCUCGCUGCCAUGGUCUCUUGUUGCAGGGCAUUUACUUUGCUUGUGCCAGGUCUGGGUUCACCAUUGGAUUUAUAGCACCUUUCAGGACUCAUAAAAUGCUUGAGGCCUCAACGUUAUUUCCCUUCACUUUCCACAGAAGAAAUGCAAGUCAGUAAUUAGUCCAAGAUCACAAAGCUGAUGGGUGUACAGUCAGCAUUUGAACCCAGAACUGCCUGGCUCCAAGGCUUGUGCGUUUAACAUCCAGACCAGCCACAUGUAGCUACCUAAAUCCCAGUUAAUUAAAAUUUAAUAAAAUGAGUCACAGUGGCCACAUUUCAAGUGCACCAAUAGCUGUACAGGGCUGAUAGCUUCUGUACUGGAGCCACAGGUAGAACAUUCUUUUGGGCUACACGGCUUAUUCUGCUGCCUCUCUGCCAACCACCCCUGCCUGUCCCAGCCUCAGCCCAGAAGCAAUGACCAGAGUGGUUAAGUUUAGAGUUUUCCUCUCAGAACCCAGCUAGGUAUUUUCCUGAUACCUGUUGGGGAAACUUCUAGUCUUCAGGAUGGAAAUUGUUACCCCUAAAAACUUUUCUCUAAUAAUCACUCCCAGCAGUAGCUACUCAUUGCCAGCACUGGCCAUGCUCAACACCCAUCAACUCAUUCAGUUCUCACGAUAACACCACCAAGUAGGCACUGUAAUUCCCUGUUUCACGAACCAGGCAGUGGAGGGUUAUAAGAGUUCAAUAACUUGUUGAAGGUUGCACUGCUUUCAAAGCCAGGAUAUCAGCCCAGGUGUGUCUGUUUCUGACAUCCACACUUUUCUCAUUACAUUUCCCAAGGCUUGGUUUGCUGGGUUCUGCCCCAAAGGGUUUCUUCCUUUCUGCCUGGGGCUUGAGAAAAUCCAGAGUGCCUAAUGAGACCCAUGUGUUGGUGAGAUCCCACCUGCUUUCAGUUUCCCCAGGCCAGUGGAAGGAGUCUACAUCAGUGCUUGGCCUCUGUCCUAUCCUUGGGCUGCCAACCACUCCCCUGCUGGCUGCCAAGGCUUUGAGAGGAGGCCAGACGCAAGCUCACUCUCCUGCUUGGGAACCUCUUGAAGUGUCCCUCUUGGACUAUUUUAGAGUGACAGGGACAACAGGACAGAGGUGGGCAUGCCUGGUGCCCACAGUGUGGCCGACUGAGUUGCUGCUACUUGCUCUGCCUCUCUGCUCCCUGGGUGACCACUUCCUGUCAGCCUCUGUUCUCCCAUGGCCUGGAAGGUGGGAGUGGAAGGAGGAAAGGAGGGGGAGGGACAUUCCAUCUGGAAAGGCCACGUGUGGGAAGUUCCAGACAAAUCCCAUUUUUUGUGAAUGGGACCUGUCUGUUCACCUCAAAGGCAACAAGCCAGGUAUUUUGUUAGUCCUACAAACAGGGAUUGGCAGGUUACUAAGCAAAGGUUACUUAACAUGUCAAGCACUCCAGUUAUGUUUAGGCUGAUGUAAACAUCUUAUCAGCAGAGCUGAAACUUGGCAUUUGCUGCUGGAGUUGGAUUCCUAAGGGAAAGAAAGCAAUCACAUCAUUAUGCAACUGAGAGUGAGGGCUGAGGAAUGGUAGCUUGUCCAAGCUAAUUUCCUGGCCAGGUCUUCUUUGCUUCUGUGGACCAGAAAGUCUCCUGGAUGCUCCAGGCAGGAACAGGGUGUGGUGGACAUGGACCAUCUCCUGAAAUGUCUUCUGAGGCAACAUGUAACUGCCCUUACAAGAUUUCUUCCUGUCAAGUCCCAAAUCUACAAUCUGAAAACCAGGAAAGAUGAGGUCUUUCAAAGAUAUUUUAAAGUCAAAAGAUGUCCACUGCUAAAUGGUGGUUCAGUGCAGCUCAGCACAAGGAACUGAAGACUUGUGGUUUAGAAUGGUCCAUUUGCCCAAGCUGACCAGAUCAGACUGGGCUUCCUCCAUAAGAGAUGAUGCAAUGGUCACACCCCCAGUGGAGACUGAAAGGGAAUGAUGUAAAUCACUGCAUGAAGGUCAGGGUAAGAUAACAGAAGUUUCCCCACACUAAGGUUUCCAGCAAGCCUCCUCUGCGGUUUAGGGAACUUGUAUGAUCACCUCCAGAUACUGUGCAGCUGUUGGGCUGAGCCAUUUUCUUUCAAGACUAUGAGUUGGGCUUGAAGACAUCUGAAAGUCCUCCUAGUCACUGAUUAUCACAGAAGAUAACUUGCAUUGUGAGAGGGCUUCAAGGAUUCUGUGGUUCAACAUUGCUUUUUAGAGUCCCCAGUCCUGGUCCUGCUGAUCUCUUCUCCUCUCCUCUCCUCUUCUCUCAUAAGAAGUGCUGCCUUCCCCACCAUCUCCCACUCCAAAUUGGCUCAUGCGAGAAAGAAGGGCAGGAGACUUGUUUUGCAGGGCAUCCCAGAGUUCUCCAGGAGGAAGGACCACUAUGCCUGGGCCAGGUAUGUUAGCUGAAUCUGUGAGUGUCUCACUCUCCACUCAUCCAUGGCUUACAGUUGUGUGGGGAGUAGGCCUGGGAGCCAGUCAAGGAAAAGGUCAGAUGGUUUGCUCCACCACCUGGCAUCUAUUUAUACCUUCCUGCUCACCACGUAAGUGUAGGCUGUGUGCUCAAGAAUGUGAAUGAGAUCCUGCCCCACAUGAACUGGGGGCCCCAACAUGAGAGGCAACCUCCAAAAACCAUAUCAGGUUGGAAAAAGCCCAUGAUCUGCCUGGCCAAGAAUGGCCAAAGAUCACUGCUCUUGAAUGAAUGGGGAUCUCAUGCCCUUAACUCUUGUUAAGGAAAGAAGAUGUUUUGGAAGGCAUCUCCUCCUCUGCUGGUGUCCCUGGAAGGCCCUGGCUGCUGGCUGGGGCAUGGCCCUCUUUGAGAUACGAACAAGGAGAUUUCUCACCCAGAGCUCUGGUGGCAGCCAAAGUCAAGCUUUGUGGGAGUCUGAGGGACCACCUCAGGUGGUGAGGCACUUCACCAGGCUGAGAUGCCGAAUGCAUUUCUGGAAGCUCCUCUCCUUCUUCUGGCUGGAGUUUGACUUUCUGAUCCUUGCUCAUUUGCUUGUCACACUACAGGCCCUAAGGUUUCCCUCUAUGGCCUGCCCGGGGAAGCUGGGAGAAGAGUGGCAAUGUGAAAACUCACCUGGUACCAUUGCUCUACCUUCCUGGUAUUUCUGUAGGGCCUGAGGUAGUGCUGGGGAGAGACAGUGGAGUUGCAAAGGAAGAGGAAAGGAGCAAGAGGAAGAAAUAGAUUUGCAUGAAUAUCCUUCAUCUUGCCAAACAGCACACUCUUAUACAGAACUGAAAGGAGUCAGCCUUAAAUACUAGGAGCUGGGGAAAGCUGAAGAAGGGCUCUCUGCCUUGUGGGGCAGCAAAGCUAAAACAUGGUGGCUUGUACUCCAAGGGCAUGUGGCUAUCCCAUCAUCCCUGCUCUGAUGAAUGCUUUCCAGCAAGGCUAGCAAUGGCUAUGAUUUGUUGAGCACCUACUAUGUACUGGGCCCCAGAUCAGUGCUUUCCAUGUAUGGUUGCAUCCUUAAGACAAUGUCAGACUUGGGGAUAACUGCUUCUAUUUUCUUGGUGAGGAAAAAGGUACAGAGAAAUAGAUAACUUGCUCAAGGACACUCAGUUAUUUCUGUUUUCCACCAAGUGUAGUGUCCUGCCCACCACACUACCACCCAUCUUUGCUGCUACAAGGAAAGCUGGUGUAGCCAAAACAAAUCCAAAGAAUGAAAGGAAGUGAGGCUGCCUCUGUCAUUGUUUGUGCACACCCACCUUUUGCUACUAAGACAUUUCUUCUGGGAAACUCUCUUUCUUUAGUCAUUCUGACUGCAGCAGACCCAAAGGGUGGAAAAGACUCAUUCUUUUUUUUUUUUUGGUACCAGGGAUUGAACUCGGGACCUUGUGCCUUUGAGGCAGGCGGCGAACCACUGAGCUAAAUCCCUGGCCCAAGACUCAUUCUUUUGCCAGUGGGAAGAACAUAAUUCAUGCACAUGUAACACUUGUCUUUCCCCCUUGAAGAGUGGGAUGGCUUUGGAGCAGGCAGGACCUGUGUCUGUUUGUAUUAUCAUCCAAACUGGGACACUCUGCACACUUACAGACAGUACUAUUGAGCACAUCACAACAGGCAUGAACGGUAUCCAUGCUGGCCAAUUGAGGCUAUUGGAUCACUUCAGGAUGAGGCCUUGUGGGAGACAUUUGCCCUAGAGGACAGAGGUAAGGGGCAGGUAAGAUGGGUGAGACAACCUUUCUCUGAAAUCACCCCCUAAAGCCUGACAACAUGGGGUGCUCUGGGCUGCCUAGGGAAGAUGAGCACCACACUUAACUCAUCUCUGCUAAGAAGAAAAUUCAGAAGCUCCAAUUAUUGCUGAGACUUCCCAGACUGAGCUUAGGGCAUUGCUGAACUCGCCACUCACUCUGUCCUGCUCCAGGUUUCUCCAGGGGACAAGCAGCAGUAGCCAGAUGUUGACAGUCCAUGGACUCUUCCAAGGUGGUCCCCCUUUCUUUCAGAAAGCUCCCUGUGUCUGAGCCCCUUAACUCUGAAGUCAGGUAAGAAGGUGGGAGGCAGGAGGCCCCCUUUUGUCAAGGGAUUAAGUGAACUCAAUUGUAUAGAGUUCUGGAAGAUUUCAUUGUCACUUAGCAGUGGCAGCUAAAAUCAAUCUCGAGCAUAGCUAUUUUUUUCUUGUUACUUUGAAGGUGAAGUCAGCUUCUCAGGAACAAGGCUAACCCUUUGGCUGGAUGUCUUGGACUGCUGGAUUUAAGGACCCAUUCAACAACAUCAGCAAGUGUCAGAGGGUACUGCCACUGAGGUCAUGUUUGUAAAAGCAUUCCAUAAAGCGAACAUACUCAGAGAGUGGCCAAGCUUUCUGGAAGACGGGCUCAUCCUAAAGCAACUGCGUGGGCACUUAGAAUAGAAACAAUUACCCGGUCCAGGUGUCUUGCUACUUCUUAGAGGGAGUAGAUGCUCUUUUGACCAUCAUCACACCUCCAGCCCCAAUUACUCUAAGACAUCCCAGAGUGUCUUGCAGCUGUGCAAAUUUCCAAAACUGGUCUGCCUGGUGGGACAGCACCUCAGCUGUGUCUGUGAUGAAUGUAUCUGAGCUCCUUUCAGGUGGAGCCCCCUGGAGCCAGGCGUGGUGGUCCUGGUGAGAUGGGUGAAGCCCUUGCCUCACUCCUCCCCGCCACCCUCUUGCUUGGGGGCAAGAAUCAGAAGAGGUGGCUGAUGUCUCUCCCUGCUCUCAAGGUGGACAGAAGACCAAAUAAACCAGCGUCGACCCAAGGCUCACAGGGCAGACAGCUGUGAAGGCUCAGUGACAUGCAGUGCUCUGGGAGAAGUCAAUGCCACAAAAGUGUUCAGGGGAGUGUCCCUGGGGUUUAACUGGCCCCUGUAGGAGCCAGAAGAGCAGCCGCUCAGACUUCUCGCCAGCAGCCAGCAGUGCUGCCAGCCCUAUCCAUCGGUUUCUCGCCAGAUCUUUCUCCCUCUGCACUACCCAGUGAGAGCAGGGGGUGGCGUGGGGGGUAAGAUUCUUCUAGAAACAGAAGGCUAACUGCUGCCUCGUCUCGAUUCUUCUGCACAGGUGAUGCCAGUGGGUUUGGUGCAGGCAGAGUCUAGAAUGAGUUGCUAGCCAAGCAUGCCAUCACUGCAAAAGUGUUAACUGGGCUGCUGUGGUGUGCCAGGAUCCGCUGCAGGGAACUGUGAACUCUGGGCAGGUCAGUUCUCUAGUUGGGGUAUCUCUAGUUCUACGCCCCCUAGGGGAAGAAAAUACAGCAACAGCCUUCUCCUGUGUCCCUCUUCUCCUGGAAAGACAUUUGCCUGGUCUUUGGAGGGAGGUACUGGGGCUUAGGGUGACAAAGGCAACUCUUGUUGAAUCAGCACCCUCUUUGCAUAUGGUUAGCAAUGGCCUGGCUGCAACAACCAUGCCCUAGACCCAGUUUUUCCUGUACCAGCUCGUUUGGGAGCCGAGUCUGAGCUGAGGGCAGCUAGGUGGACCCAGGCUGGCUUUGGCUCCUCCAGAGAACUUAACUGCAAGUUUGUUCUACUCCCUGCUCCCUCCCUUUUUCACAGAAACUUCUGUUGCCAGGGCUGAGCCCCCAGGCAGAAAUUCUGUUCCCCUCCCUCAUUGUGCUGGAUGCUGGCACUGCCAAGUUCUGCCAAGGCUGAGCGCCAGGUUGGCAACGUAGUCCAUGCCCCUUGAUCAGAACCAGCUGGGAGCACAGAAGCUGGGCAGCCCCUUUCCAGGUUCAGCUCUCUCCAGACAAUGUCUUUUACUUAUGACAACCCCAGUUCUGUGCCCAAAGGGAACCAGCCACCUCUUUCCAACCCAGCUGCCUUUCCUUGGGAGCCUCUGAGAUCCCGCCAGCAGAACCCCUAGGAAAUGGGGUGGGGUAGGGGCACUCUCCCUAAAUGUGCAGUUUCCAUCCUGUUGGGAGAGGCAGGUGCCCGGGAGAGGGUGUGUUCAAACCCACUUUCAGUUCGGUUGCCAGGAGCUGCAGGAGUCAUGGAGAAGUGAGAGAGGAGAGACCGGGCAUGGGAGGAUAGGAAGCCAGGA